AUGCGCANCCUACACACGCAAGNUCGAACGGUAACAGACCGCUGUGAUCCCUUCGGGGUGAACUUGGUGCUGACGAGUGGCGGACGGGUGAGUAAUACAUAGGAAUCUGCCCAGUAGUGGGGGACAACCUGGGGAAACCCAGGCUAAUACCGCAUACGCCCUACGGGGGAAAGGCUUCGGUCGCUAUUGGAUGAGCCUAUGUCUGAUUAGCUUGUUGGUGGGGUAACGGCCUACCAAGGCGACGAUCAGUAGCUGGUCUGAGAGGACGACCAGCCACACUGGGACUGAGACACGGCCCAGACUCCUACGGGAGGCAGCAGUGGGGAAUUUUCCGCAAUGGGCGAAAGCCUGACGGAGCAAUCUCGCGUGAGGGAUGACUGCCUAUGGGUUGUAAACCUCUUUUUUCAGGGAGGAACAAAAUGACGUGUACCUGAAGAAUAAGCAUCGGCUAACUCCGUGCCAGCAGCCGCGGUAAGACGGAGGAUGCAAGUGUUAUCCGGAAUCACUGGGCGUAAAGCGUCUGUAGGUUGUUUAAUAAGUCAACUGUUAAAUCUUGAAGCUCAACUUCAAAAUCGCAGUCGAAACUAUUAGACUAGAGUAUAGUAGGGGUAAAGGGAAUUUCCAGUGGAGCGGUGAAAUGCGUAGAGAUUGGAAAGAACACCGAUGGCGAAGGCACUUUACUGGGCUAUUACUGACACUCAGAGACGAAAGCUAGGGUAGCAAAUGGGAUUAGAUACCCCAGUAGUCCUAGCCGUAAACAAUGGAUACUAGAUGUUGAACAGAUCGACCUGUGCAGUAUUAAAGCUAACGCGUUAAGUAUCCCGCCUGGGAAGUAUGCUCGCAAGAGUGA
RNAcentral lists this ribosomal RNA (850 nucleotides) under uncultured bacterium. RNAcentral describes it as "bacterial SSU rRNA". It matches the Rfam family "Bacterial small subunit ribosomal RNA", at positions 42 to 897 of the family's 1533-position model. The record is from RNAcentral.